This is a long non-coding RNA of Arabidopsis thaliana (thale cress), 204 nucleotides long. RefSeq annotates it as other RNA. The transcript has a single exon. NCBI's taxonomy places the organism in Eukaryota, Viridiplantae, Streptophyta, Magnoliopsida, Brassicales, Brassicaceae. The record is from RefSeq.
GCCGUCUCAGAAAUUAUUAAUGUGAUUUCACUAAAUCAAGAUUCUCUGAUAAUCUCUUGCUUACAUUUUGAGGUCGCUCAGUGCCCUUAAUGUGAUUGCUUCUUCUCUGGCCGUCUCACUACCAGGUAUUGUUUGCUUUUUUUUUUGGUGAAUAUAAUCAUGCAUCAGUCAUUUUUUUUUGGUGAAACAUUAGUCAUUUUUUUG